AAACAAGGAGCCGGUAUCAGGCACAACUAACCUCAGCCCAUGACACCUUGCUUAGCCACACCCUCAAGGGACUUCAGCAGUGAUAAACAUUAAGCCAUAAGUGAAAACUUGACUUAGUUAAAGCUAAAAGAGCCGGUAAAACUCGUGCCAGCCACCGCGGUUAUACGAGAGGCUCAAGUUGAUAGACAACGGCGUAAAGAGUGGUUAAGGAACCCAUUAAACUAAAGCCGAACGCCCUCAGAACUGUUAUACGUUUCCGAAGGUAAGAAGCCCCACCACGAAAGUGACUUUACUUCCCCUGACCCCACGAAAGCUGCGAAACAAACUGGGAUUAGAUACCCCAUUAUGCCCAGCCCUAAACUUUGAUAGCCUAUUACACCCACUAUCCGCCAGGGUACUACGAGCAUUAGCUUAAAACCCAAAGGACUUGGCGGUGCUUUACAUCCACCUAGAGGAGCCU
This 460-nucleotide ribosomal RNA is filed under the name Abudefduf sordidus (blackspot sergeant). Its description in RNAcentral is "partial 12S rRNA". It matches the Rfam family "Bacterial small subunit ribosomal RNA", at positions 312 to 940 of the family's 1533-position model. Lineage: Eukaryota; Metazoa; Chordata; Actinopteri; Pomacentridae. The record is from RNAcentral.